RNAcentral lists this ribosomal RNA (641 nucleotides) under uncultured bacterium. RNAcentral's name for it is "bacterial SSU rRNA". It matches the Rfam family "Bacterial small subunit ribosomal RNA", at positions 69 to 707 of the family's 1533-position model. The record is from RNAcentral.
AGUCCCUGUAGCAAUACAGGGAUUGCGUCACGGCGCACGGGUGCGUAACACGUGGGCAACCUGCCCUCUGGUGGGGAAUAACCCCGCGAAAGCGGGGCUAAUACCGCAUAACAUCCGGCGGCCUUCGGGCUGCCGGUUCAAAUCCGCAAGGAGCCGGAGGUGGGGCCCGCGCCCGAUUAGCUUGUUGGUGAGGUAACGGCUCACCAAGGCGAUGAUCGGUAGCUGGUCUGAGAGGAUGGCCAGCCACACUGGAACUGAGACACGGUCCGGACUCCUACGGGAGGCAGCAGUGGGGAAUCUUGCGCAAUGGGCGAAAGCCUGACGCAGCGACGCCGCGUGGGGGACGAAGCUUCUCGGAGUGUAAACCCCUUUCGACCCGGACGAAACGCCCCGCAAGGGGAAUUGACGGUACGGGGAGAAGAAGCCCCGGCUAACUACGUGCCAGCAGCCGCGGUAAGACGUAUGGGGCCAGCGUUGCUCGGAAUUACUGGGCGUAAAGGGUUCGUAGGCGGUGCGGCAAGUGGGGAGUGAAAUCUCCAGGCUCAACCUGGAGGCUGCUUUCCAAACUGCUGUGCUCGAGUGUGGGAGAGGCGAGUGGAAUUGCAGGUGUAGCGGUGAAAUGCGUAGAUAUCUGCAGGAAC